GUGCCAGCAGCCGCGGUGAUACGUAGGGUGCAAGCGUUAAUCGGAAUUACUGGGCGUAAAGCGUGUGUAGGCGGUUCGGAAAGAAAGAUGUGAAAUCCCAGGGCUCAACCUUGGGACUGCAUUUUUAACUGCCGAGCUAGAGUAUGUCAGAGGGGGGUAGAAUUCCACGUGUAGCAGUGAAAUGCGUAGAUAUGUGGAGGAAUACCGAUGGCGAAGGCAGCCCCCUGGGAUAAUACUGACGCUCAGACACGAAAGCGUGGGGAGCAAACAGGAUUAGAUACCCUGGUAGUCCACGCCCUAAACGAUGUCAACUAGCUGUUGGGGCCGUUAGGCCUUAGUAGCGCAGCUAACGCGUGAAGUUGACCGCCUGGGGAGUACGGUCGCAAGAUUAAAACUCAAAGGAAUUGACGGGGACCCGCACAAGCGGUGGAUGAUGUGGAUUAAUUCGAUGCAACGCGAAAAACCUUACCUACCCUUGACAUGUCUGGAAUGCCGAAGAGAUUUGGCAGUGCUCGCAAGAGAACCGGAACACAGGUGCUGCAUGGCUGUCGUCAGCUCGUGUCGCGAGAUGUUGGGUUAAGUCCCGCAACGAGCGCAACCCUUGUCAUUAGUUGCUACGCAAGAGCACUCUAAUGAGACUGCCGGUGACAAACCGGAGGAAGGUGGGGAUGACGUCAAGUCCUCAUGGCCCUUAUGGGUAGGGCUUCACACGUCAUACAAUGGUCGGGACAGAGGGUCGCCAACCCGCGAGGGGGAGCCAAUCUCAGAAACCCGAUCGUAGUCCGGAUCGCAGUCUGCAACUCGACUGCGUGAAGUCGGAAUCGCUAGUAAUCGCGGAUCAGAAUGUCGCGGUGAAUACGUUCCCGGGUCUUGUACACACCGCCCGUCACACCAUGGGAGUGGGUUUCACCAGAAGUAGGUAGCCUAACCGCAAGGAGGGCGCUUACCACGGUGGGAUUCAUGACUGGGGGUGAAGUC
Molecule: ribosomal RNA, 978 nt
Filed under: uncultured bacterium
Lineage: Bacteria
Description: bacterial SSU rRNA
Rfam family: Bacterial small subunit ribosomal RNA
Source: RNAcentral